GGGCGAAUGGUUUAGUGGUAUAAUACUCCCUUAGCAUGGGAGUGGUCCAGGGUUCGAUUUCCUGUUCGUCCA
This 72-nucleotide transfer RNA is filed under the name Clonostachys rosea. It matches the Rfam family "tRNA". Rfam says of the family: Transfer RNA (tRNA) molecules are approximately 80 nucleotides in length. Their secondary structure includes four short double-helical elements and three loops (D, anti-codon, and T loops). Further hydrogen bonds mediate the characteristic L-shaped molecular structure. tRNAs have two regions of fundamental functional importance: the anti-codon, which is responsible for specific mRNA codon recognition, and the 3' end, to which the tRNAs corresponding amino acid is attached (by aminoacyl-tRNA synthetases). tRNAs cope with the degeneracy of the genetic code in two manners: having more than one tRNA (with a specific anti-codon) for a particular amino acid; and 'wobble' base-pairing, i.e. permitting non-standard base-pairing at the 3rd anti-codon position. Lineage: Eukaryota; Fungi; Ascomycota; Sordariomycetes; Hypocreales; Bionectriaceae. The record is from RNAcentral.